Molecule: non-coding RNA, 72 nt
Organism: Phrynosoma platyrhinos (Desert horned lizard)
Lineage: Eukaryota; Metazoa; Chordata; Lepidosauria; Squamata; Phrynosomatidae
Source: the annotation of a GenBank genome assembly
GACAGCAUGGUGUAGUGGUUUAAGUAUUAGACUACAGUUCUGGAGAUCAGGGUUUGAAUUCCUGUUUGGACA